This 74-nucleotide transfer RNA is filed under the name Candidatus Berkelbacteria bacterium. RNAcentral's name for it is "tRNA-Val". It matches the Rfam family "tRNA". Rfam says of the family: Transfer RNA (tRNA) molecules are approximately 80 nucleotides in length. Their secondary structure includes four short double-helical elements and three loops (D, anti-codon, and T loops). The record is from RNAcentral. Lineage: Bacteria; Candidatus Berkelbacteria.
GAUCCGGUGGCCAAGUGGUAAGGCAGGAGCAAAACAUGCUCUGAUCGCAGGUUCGAAUCCUGCCCGGAUCUCCA